CAAUAUCGCCUCUCAUUGCUAUCUUCACUGUUUGAGAAGAGUAUUAAGAAUGACCUCGGUCGAGAUUACAAACAGCUUUGGCUAGUUUAACAUUGUUGUAAACACUAAUUCGAUUGGCUGACACGUUGGUCUCUACUACGCUCGCACCGCUGGUUAUAACUUGGCGCAAAUGUCUCGACCUAUUUUCGCGCCAUAGUCCAAGCAGCCAUCACAGCUUUCCAUUUCUGAAGUUCACUGGGAGCCUGGUGAAGCUUAUAAAACAAGGUUUCUCAGAAAAAAUAUUCGUCUUAGGCUUUUAGUUCUUUUAAGAGCUAAGUCUCUGACCACACAGAGAAUACUCGACCAAGUUCCAGUUUCGAGGCAAGCGACCACCAUUAAUACAAGAUGUUACAGAUACCUCUCAUACUGUUAGUGUGAAAAAUCACCAUGAAGAAAACGGUUACAAGAUAUCUAUAAC
This is a long non-coding RNA of Octopus sinensis (East Asian common octopus), 457 nucleotides long. RefSeq lists it as uncharacterized. NCBI's taxonomy places the organism in Eukaryota, Metazoa, Mollusca, Cephalopoda, Octopoda, Octopodidae. The transcript has 2 exons. The record is from RefSeq and is a predicted model, not a curated record.